RNAcentral lists this ribosomal RNA (252 nucleotides) under uncultured bacterium. RNAcentral's name for it is "partial 16S ribosomal RNA". It matches the Rfam family "Bacterial small subunit ribosomal RNA", at positions 525 to 776 of the family's 1533-position model. The record is from RNAcentral.
ACGGAGGGAGCUAGCGUUGUUCGGAAUUACUGGGCGUAAAGCGCACGUAGGCGGCUUUGUAAGUUAGAGGUGAAAGCCUGGAGCUCAACUCCAGAACUGCCUUUGAUACUGCAUGGCUUGAAUCCAAGAGAGGUGAGUGGAAUUCCGAGUGUAGAGGUGAAAUUCGUAGAUAUUCGGAAGAACACCAGUGGCGAAGGCGGCUCACUGGCUUGGUAUUGACGCUGAGGUGCGAAAGCGUGGGGAGCAAACAGG